UGUUGCAGAAGUAUUUGAUUCUCUCCCUUUUGUCUGCCUGGCUUAUGCGCAGAGAGACAGGGCGAUUGUCUUGCUGUUUUCUUUCUCGAAUCGUUAUUACAGUUCUCGGCGAUUUCUGCUGUCACAGCUGGUGUCUGUACAGUAUUCCCGAUGGCUUCUCCAUCCACACGGAUCUCUCUCCCCCUCUGUCUGUGCUCGGGCUAUUUGCACAGCGUCUCUCUGCAAAUAGACCGGCGAACAGCACCACAAGGAAACUUCUGCCUGCGUACAACGCCGAGCCACCUCCGGACUCUGCAGAUCAGCAUCAUCUGACUUUGGACUGGGACCAGCUGAGCGAUGGGGAGAACGUGGGGAGAAACCCGGAGACAAAGCUCGUUCCUUGUGCCACAACUCCUCAAGCUGCCCGCCCCCGGACCACGCAGGCACCCAGGAAAAAAAUACCUGUCAGGACAAGGCAAAAUCCUUCCUGGUAGCAGAGAACCUGACCUCUAUUACCAGUAUAUUCAACAUAAGGAUAUUCCUGGCCUUUCUGCACUCCUGCAGCUUCCAUUAAUUCAUUAUCUGUCAACGCUGAUUUUUUGAGCUGCUGCACAUUGGAUGUUUUCAGAGAAUUAUUCACAAUGACUCCAAAGUCUCUCUUUUGAGUGGUGAUAGCUAAUUUAGUCUUGUGAUGGGGUGGACUAGGUGCAAAGCCCCAUGCUGGAGGCUGAAUGCCUUGCCACAUCCCACCCCCAAGGAGAAGAGCAGAAAAUAGGUCCUCCAAGCAGAUUAGAGUGGCUGCUUCUUCUGCAGCCAAUCAGGGCCUAGCACAGUGAUAUAAAAGAAGCUGUUGGGCCAGGGCCUGGCAGUUCCCCACUGGAGCUUGACCCAGCCAAACCUAGGGAUUGACUGGGAGGACAGUGGCACCUCAGACAGCUCCUAGUGUGAGCUGAUUUCCAGACUUGUUGGAAACCCAGGCCCAGUGGUGAACGACUAGCUAUAAUAAGUACAGUAAUUGUAGAAUCCCAGACAGGGGAAGGUGAGAAUUUGAACUUAAAGUCCUGAGAGAGGGGGCUAGACAAAGCUACUUCUUGGCAAAGUGGUCCAGGGAGCGAGAUAACAGUGGACUGCAGUGAUAGUGUGCAGGCAACUACUUACAGGGUCCCUGGGCUGGGACCCAGAGGAGUGGGCGAGCCUCCUCCUCCCCCCCGCAACCUCAAGCUGGUACAACAAGGGGCUAAGAAGAAGCCUGGUUCCAGGCAACAAAUCAGAAAACCAUGUGGGGUACUUCCACUUCCUGGCUUUGUCUACA
This is a non-coding RNA of Pelodiscus sinensis (Chinese soft-shelled turtle), 1291 nucleotides long. The record is from RefSeq and is a predicted model, not a curated record. NCBI's taxonomy places the organism in Eukaryota, Metazoa, Chordata, Testudines, Trionychidae.